GACGAACGCUGGCGGCGCGCCUAACACAUGCAAGUCGAACGGAGCUGAGAGAAGCUUGCUUUUCUUAGCUUAGUGGCGAAAGGGUGAGUAACGCGUGAGUAACCUAGCCUGGAGUGGGGGACAAAAGAUGGAAACGAAUGCUAAUACCGCAUAAGCCCACGAGCCGGCAUCGGAUUGAGGGAAAAGGAUUUAUUCGCUUCAGGAUGGACUCGCGUCCAAUUAGCUAGUUGGUGAGGUAACGGCCCACCAAGGCGACGAUUGGUAGCCGGACUGAGAGGUUGGACGGCCACAUUGGGACUGAGACACGGCCCAGACUCCUACGGGAGGCAGCAGUGGGGGAUAUUGCACAAUGGGGGAAACCCUGAUGCAGCGACGCCGCGUGGAGGAAGAAGGUUUUCGGAUUGUAAACUCCUGUCGUUAGGGACGAUAAUGACGGUACCUAACAAGAAAGCACCGGCUAACUACGUG
This 468-nucleotide ribosomal RNA is filed under the name uncultured bacterium. RNAcentral's name for it is "partial 16S ribosomal RNA". It matches the Rfam family "Bacterial small subunit ribosomal RNA", at positions 28 to 507 of the family's 1533-position model. The record is from RNAcentral.